Molecule: non-coding RNA, 46 nt
Filed under: Schistosoma mansoni
Lineage: Eukaryota; Metazoa; Platyhelminthes; Trematoda; Strigeidida; Schistosomatidae
Source: RNAcentral
ACACUGCUGACGAGUCCCACAAUAGAACAAAACGGCCGUCCAGUGC